Molecule: ribosomal RNA, 1346 nt
Filed under: uncultured bacterium
Lineage: Bacteria
Description: partial 16S ribosomal RNA
Rfam family: Bacterial small subunit ribosomal RNA
Source: RNAcentral
GACGAACGCUGGCGGCGUGCUUAACACAUGCAAGUCGAACGGAAAGGCCCUGCUUUUGUGGGGUGCUCGAGUGGCGAACGGGUGAGUAACACGUGAGUAACCUGCCCUUGACUUUGGGAUAACUUCAGGAAACUGGGGCUAAUACCGGAUAGGAGCUCCUGCUGCAUGGUGGGGGUUGGAAAGUUUCGGCGGCUGGGGAUGGACUCGCGGCUUAUCAGCUUGUUGGUGGGGUAGUGGCUUACCAAGGCUUUGACGGGUAGCCGGCCUGAGAGGGUGACCGGCCACAUUGGGACUGAGAUACGGCCCAGACUCCUACGGGAGGCAGCAGUGGGGAAUAUUGCACAAUGGGCGGAAGCCUGAUGCAGCAACGCCGCGUGCGGGAUGACGGCCUUCGGGUUGUAAACCGCUUUCGCCUGUGACGAAGCGUGAGUGACGGUAAUGGGUAAAGAAGCACCGGCUAACUACGUGCCAGCAGCCGCGGUGAUACGUAGGGUGCGAGCGUUGUCCGGAUUUAUUGGGCGUAAAGGGCUCGUAGGUGGUUGAUCGCGUCGGAAGUGUAAUCUUGGGGCUUAACCCUGAGCGUGCUUUCGAUACGGGUUGACUUAAGGAAGGUAGGGGAGAAUGGAAUUCCUGGUGGAGCGGUGGAAUGCGCAGAUAUCAGGAGGAACACCAGUGGCGAAGGCGGUUCUCUGGGCCUUUCCUGACGCUGAGGAGCGAAAGCGUGGGGAGCGAACAGGCUUAGAUACCCUGGUAGUCCACGCUGUAAACGGUGGGUACUAGGUGUGGGGUCCAUUCCACGGGUUCCGUGCCGUAGCUAACGCUUUAAGUACCCCGCCUGGGGAGUACGGCCGCAAGGCUAAAACUCAAAGGAAUUGACGGGGCCCCGCACAAGCGGCGGAGCAUGCGGAUUAAUUCGAUGCAACGCGUAGAACCUUACCUGGGUUUGACAUGGAUCGGGAGUGCUCAGAGAUGGGUGUGCCUCUUUUGGGGUCGGUUCACAGGUGGUGCAUGGCUGUCGUCAGCUCGUGUCGUGAGAUGUUGGGUUAAGUCCCGCAACGAGCGCAACCCUUGUUCACUGUUGCCAGCACGUUAUGGUGGGGACUCAGUGGAGACCGCCGGGGUCAACUCGGAGGAAGGUGGGGAUGACGUCAAGUCAUCAUGCCCCUUAUGUCCAGGGCUUCACGCAUGCUACAAUGGCUGGUACAGAGAGUGGCGAGCCUGUGAGGGUGAGCGAAUCUCGGAAAGCCGGUCUCAGUUCGGAUUGGGGUCUGCAACUCGACCUCAUGAAGUCGGAGUCGCUAGUAAUCGCAGAUCAGCAACGCUGCGGUGAAUACGUUCCCGGGGCU